Long non-coding RNA from Triticum aestivum (bread wheat), 1227 nucleotides. RefSeq lists it as uncharacterized. The transcript has 3 exons. The record is from RefSeq and is a predicted model, not a curated record. Lineage: Eukaryota; Viridiplantae; Streptophyta; Magnoliopsida; Poales; Poaceae.
UCUCAUGGUAAAAGAAAACUGAAAAACCAGCCCACCGCUCCCCACGUUCUCCCAUGACCUAUCCAUCUCUCCCGAUUCGACCUGGAACUGGAAUACAUCCCACGAUCCCCCACACAACACGGAGGGAAAACAGCCCGAAGUUCCUCGCGAUAGCCCCGACGCGGCCUCCUGCUGGGUUGUUGCUGCGCGUCGAUGGUGCCGCAUCGCCGCCCCACGAUUCGGACCGGCGCCUCAUCGUGCCCUCACCCGAGCCUUCUCUCCACGCUCCACCGCUUCGCCGGGCGCCAAUAUCUGGGGCUCUCCGCAAUGCCCGAUGCUCCGGCGGUGAGCCGUACUGCAGUAGGGAGGAGGAGCCGGCGGCAGACAGAGAAGUACAUGGAGGUGGUGGUGGAAGGGAAGGGGACGGGGACAUAAUCGAGGGCGAGCACGGCACCAAUGUCGUGCAGUCCAAACUCAUCUGGGACAUGUGUCCACCAUCUCGCUCGCCUGGGAGACCGCCCAACUUGAUUUAAUAUGUUAUCUUGCCCAGUACUUUCCUCAUGUGGCUGUUAUGACCGAGCACCUUUCUUUGUGGCAGUGAUGUAUUAAAUAAUCUCUAACAAAUUAAUACGCUUAAAUGGUGAUGCCACUGCUCAAAUCCAAACACUGAAGAACGCAUAUAUAUUGCAUGGUCUGUCAUCGGAGCACCUUUGGAGGAAGAAGUUCACCUCAAGCCAUCGGAGUGAAAUUCUCAUUGCCAUAACCAGCUUUCACAGGGAAGCAUAAGGUGAUCCAUGAUCUUCACGUAGUAUGUAGAAUCUGGAGGAAAUCUAAUAUAUCUCUUAUGUAUAAUUUGUAUGUAGAUUUCGUGAGAAUUUGUCACAUUCAAAACUACAUUACCUGACUUACUUAUUUUUUGCCAGAUCAUAUCAUGAGUUACUGUUUACAUGUACUGUAGCUUCAUGAAGAAAAGAAAUAGGAUACAUUUUCUAGCCUUAUAUUCAUUUUUUUACUGUAAUGUCUAAGAAUGAAAGCACUCAGGUUCUGCACCUUCCAGUAGUUUAAUUUGUCUAAUAUGUUACCUUUUGCACAAGUGGGGCUUAUGUGAUAACUUGGCAUCUGCAACUUGGUUGCGUCUGAAUUUAGGGUCAAAAGAUUGAGGACCUUAACGCGCAAUAGCGUGGACCAGUGGACGAGGAUGAUAUCAUGGAGUCAGGAGAAAGGCUUGUUGGAAGUAGAAUAUAAUGA